CACAUACAUAUAUAGACGUGUA
This 22-nucleotide microRNA is filed under the name Monodelphis domestica (gray short-tailed opossum). RNAcentral describes it as "mdo-miR-7399-5p". The record is from miRBase by way of RNAcentral. Lineage: Eukaryota; Metazoa; Chordata; Mammalia; Didelphimorphia; Didelphidae.